AUACGGAGGGUCCAAGCGUUAUUCGGAAUCAUUGGGUUUAAAGGGUUCGCAGGCGGUCAAUUAAGUCAGAGGUGAAAGCCCAUCGCUCAACGAUGGAACUGCCUUUGAUACUGGUUGACUUGAGUUAUACGGAAGUAGAUAGAAUAAGUAGUGUAGCGGUGAAAUGCAUAGAUAUUACUUAGAAUACCGAUUGCGAAGGCAGUCUACUACGUAUAUACUGACGCUGAGGGACGAAAGCGUGGGGAGCGAACAGGAUUAGAAACCCUAGUAGUCC
This 274-nucleotide ribosomal RNA is filed under the name uncultured bacterium. RNAcentral's name for it is "partial 16S ribosomal RNA". It matches the Rfam family "Bacterial small subunit ribosomal RNA", at positions 523 to 796 of the family's 1533-position model. The record is from RNAcentral.